AAAUUUUUGGUGGUUGCUAACAAGGGUAUAUGGUGGAUGCCUAGACAUCAAAAGACGAUGAAGGACGUAGCAAUCUGCGAUAAGCUUCGGGGAGGCGAUAAGCAACCUUUGAUCCGGAGAUUUCCGAAUGGGGAAACCCUUCUGUCGGAAGGACAGAAACUCUCAGCUGAAUAUAUAGGCUGAGCAGAGACAACCCAGGGAACUGAAACAUCUUAGUACCUGGAGGAAUAGAAAGAAUUAAUAUACUAAUUAGUUUAGUGGUCACGCGAGUGGCCGCCAAGCUAAUUGGUAUUUCGAUUCCCUGAGUAGUGGCGAGCGAAACGGGAAGAGCCUAAACCGUGGCAGAGAUAAUUUAUUUUUGACCAGUAGCCUUCGGGUUGCUGGAAGGAGAUAAUGAAAUAGUCGUGAGCUUAAUGCUCUCCGCGGGGUUAUAAGAGGAUAUCGUUUUGGGGUUCACGAUCCCAAUACAUGAUGGCGUAUUAUUUAGCAGAAUGGUCUGGAAAGACCGACCACAGAUGGUGAUAGUCCAGUAUGCGAAAAAUAAUAUCUACGUGUGAUAACUUUCUUGAGUACCACGAAGCCGGUGAAACUUUGUGGGAACUUGGCGUCACUAUGCGCUAAGGCUAAAUACUUUUGAUGAUCGAUAGUGAACCAGUACCGUGAGGGAAAGGUGAAAAGCACCCCGAGAGGGGGAUGAAAUAGUAUCUGAAACCAUAUACUUACAAGGAGUCGGAGCCCUAUGACCUGCGCAAGCGGGUAAGGGGUGACGGCGUGCCUAUUGAAGAAUGAGCCUACGAGUUAGCUGUAUAUAGCUUAUUUAACUCCUUCGGGAGGUAGGUAAAGUGAAAGCGAGGAUUAAUAGUCCGUAAUAAAUUUUAUACCUUGUUCCCGCGCAAGCGGGAAUCAGGUAUAAAGUUUAUCGGCUGUAUACACUAGACCCGAAUCCGGGUGAGCUUACCAUGGCCAGGAUGAAGCGGCAGUAACAUGUCGUGGAGGUCCGAACCCACUAGCCGUGCAACACUAGGGGAUGAGCUGUGGUAAGGGGAGAAAUUCCAAUCGAACUCGGCAAUAGCUGGUUCUCCUCGAAAUAGUUUUUGGACUAGCCUUGCGUGUUAAACCGUGGUGGUAGAGCACUGGAUGGGAUAGGGUGGCAUUGCGUCCAUACCUGUUCCAAUCAAACUCCGAAUGCCACGGCGAAUUACGCGGGAGUCAGACCACGAGGGCUAAGCUUCGUUGGUCAAAAGGGAAACAGCCCUGAUCUCAAUCUAAGGUCCCUAAAUCUAUGUUAAGUGUAAAAGGUGGUGUCGUAACUUAUACAACUAGGAGGUUGGCUUAGAAGCAGCCAUCCUUUAAAGAUAGCGUAACAGCUCACUAGUCAAGUUACUUCGCGCCGAUAAUUUAACGGGGCUAAACAUAGUACCGAAGGUGGGAGUCCUUUGUCGAAGACUUUAGUUGGUUAAGUCAUAAUCUGUCCUCCUCCGCAUAAAGCUACGGAGGACGCCCUUCUCUUUGAUCUCAAGUCAAUUUAGAUUUGAUUUGAGUCUGAGGAGGUGGCUUAGCCGCCCGAAGUCUUCGACGAAGGGCGGUAGAGGAGCGUUCUAUGGGCGAUGAAGCGGUACCGUAAGGAGCCGUGGAGCGCAUAGAAGUGAGAAUGUAGGCAUGAGUAGCAACAAUCCCUGUGAGAAUCAGGGACACCGUAAACCCAAGGUUUCCUGGGCAAUGAGAAUCAACCCAGGGUUAGGCAAUCCUAAGGCGAGGCCGAAAGGCGUAGUCGAUGGAAGAGCAGGUUAAUAUUCCUGCCCUGCUAUAAUUUUUCGAUGGGGUAACGUAAGGGAAAAGUUUUGGCGUUAUUUGGUUAUGAACGUUGGUGGCUCUAGUCUGCUUUCCAGGUAAAUCCGGAAGGCAUCAGGACUAGGAGUAGCCAGGAGACUGCGGCUUCGGCCAAAGUCAAAUAAAACACUAACCUUACCAAGAAAAACCUCUAGAGCUAAAAUUAUAGCAACUGUACCGUAAACCGACGCAGGUGGGUGAGGAGAGUAUCCU
This 2043-nucleotide ribosomal RNA is filed under the name Parcubacteria group bacterium. Its description in RNAcentral is "bacterial LSU rRNA". It matches the Rfam family "Bacterial large subunit ribosomal RNA", at positions 1 to 1682 of the family's 2925-position model. The record is from RNAcentral.